Molecule: ribosomal RNA, 492 nt
Filed under: uncultured bacterium
Lineage: Bacteria
Description: partial 16S ribosomal RNA
Rfam family: Bacterial small subunit ribosomal RNA
Source: RNAcentral
AGUGAACGCUGGCGGUAGGCCUAACACAUGCAAGUCGAACGGCAGCACAGUAAGAGCUUGCUCUUACGGGUGGCGAGUGGCGGACGGGUGAGGAAUACAUCGGAAUCUACUUUUUCGUGGGGGAUAACGUAGGGAAACUUACGCUAAUACCGAAUACGACCUACGGGUGAAAGCAGGGGAUCUUCGCACCUUGCGCGACUGAAUUAGCCGAUGUCGGAUUAGCUAGUUGGCGGGGUAAAGGCCCACCAAGGCGACGAUCCGUAGCGGGUCUGAGAGGAUGAUCAGCCACACUGGAACUGAGACACGGUCCAGACUCCUACGGGAGGCAGCAGUGGGGAAUAUUGGACAAUGGGCGCAAGCCUGACGCAGCCAUGCCGCGUGGGUGAAGAAGGCCUUCGGGUUGUAAAGCCCUUUUGUUGGGAAAGAAAAGCAGCAGGUUAAUACCCGGCUGUUCUGACGGUACCCAAAGAGUAAGCACCGGCUAACUUCGUG